This 253-nucleotide ribosomal RNA is filed under the name uncultured bacterium. Its description in RNAcentral is "partial 16S ribosomal RNA". It matches the Rfam family "Bacterial small subunit ribosomal RNA", at positions 524 to 776 of the family's 1533-position model. The record is from RNAcentral.
UACGGGGGGGGCAAGCGUUGUUCGGAAUUACUGGGCGUAAAGGGCUCGUAGGCGGCCAACUAAGUCAGACGUGAAAUCCCUCGGCUUAACCGGGGAACUGCGUCUGAUACUGGAUGGCUUGAGUGUGGGAGAGGGAUGCGGAAUUCCGGGUGUAGUGGUGAAAUGCGUAGAGAUCCGGAGGAACACCAGUGGCGAAGGCGACACGCUGGGCCGUACCUGACACUGAUGCGCGACAGCAUGGGGAGCAAACAGG